RNAcentral lists this ribosomal RNA (164 nucleotides) under Fleroya rubrostipulata. Its description in RNAcentral is "5.8S ribosomal RNA". It matches the Rfam family "5.8S ribosomal RNA". Rfam says of the family: 5.8S ribosomal RNA (5.8S rRNA) is a component of the large subunit of the eukaryotic ribosome. It is transcribed by RNA polymerase I as part of the 45S precursor that also contains 18S and 28S rRNA. Functionally, it is thought that 5.8S rRNA may be involved in ribosome translocation. Lineage: Eukaryota; Viridiplantae; Streptophyta; Magnoliopsida; Gentianales; Rubiaceae. The record is from RNAcentral.
GAAACGACUCUCGACAACGGAUAUCUCGGCUCUCGCAUCGAUGAAGAACGCAGUGAAAUGCGAUACUUGGUGUGAAUUGCAGAAUCCCGUGAACCAUCGAGUUUUUUAACGCAAGUUGCGCCCGAAGCCUUCAGGCCAAGGGCACGUCUGCCUGGGCGUCACUC